GAUGAACGCUGGCGGCGUGCUUAACACAUGCAAGUCGAACGGAAAGGCCCUGCUUUUGUGGGGUGCUCGUGUGGCGAACGGGUGAGUAACACGUGAGUAACCUGCCCUUGACUUUGUGAUAACUUCAGGAAACUGGGGCGAUUACCGGAUAGGAUCUCCUGCUGCACGGUGUUGGUUGGUAAGUUUCGGCGGUUGGGGAUAGACUCGCAGCUUAUCAGCUUGUUGGUGUGGUAGUGGCUUACCAAGGCUUUGACGGGUAGCCGGCCUGGGAGGUUGACCGGCGACAUUGGGACUGAGAUACGGCGCAGAAUCCAACGGGAGGCAGCAGUGGGGAGUAUUGCACAAUGGGCGGAAGCCUGAUAUAACAGCGCCGCGUGCGGGAUGACGUCCUACGGGUGAUAAACCGCUUUCGCCGGUACCGAAGCGUGCGUGACGGUAACGGGUAAAGAAGCACCGGCUAACUACGUG
Molecule: ribosomal RNA, 468 nt
Filed under: uncultured bacterium
Lineage: Bacteria
Description: partial 16S ribosomal RNA
Rfam family: Bacterial small subunit ribosomal RNA
Source: RNAcentral